This 972-nucleotide ribosomal RNA is filed under the name Lobaria pulmonaria (tree lungwort). Its description in RNAcentral is "partial large subunit ribosomal RNA". It matches the Rfam family "Bacterial large subunit ribosomal RNA", at positions 884 to 1694 of the family's 2925-position model. Lineage: Eukaryota; Fungi; Ascomycota; Lecanoromycetes; Peltigerales; Lobariaceae. The record is from RNAcentral.
GAACAUGGAUCUCAUAUAGCUAGCAUUGAUAAAAAGAUGUUAUCUGUAGACAUUGGGGGUCGUGAAGAUACUAUCAGUGAGUGUUUGUCCUCGGAAGGGCUAUGAUAAAUAUUGAAUAAUCAGACAUAUUGCGAUAAGGUAGUAUGUCUAAAGGGAAACAGCCCAGAACAAUAGUUAAUAAGGUUCCUAAAUUAUUUUUAAGUGAAAUUAAGGGAGUUUUUUUCAGAAGCGGCUAGUAAAUAGGCUUAGAAUCAGCCAUUUUUUGAUGACAUCGUAACAGAGCACUAGUCUGUAAACCAUUUAUACGUUUACAUGUAAAAUGCACCGAAAAUUUAACGGAUCUAAACAAUAUACCGAAACAUUGUCCAUAUUUAUUUAUAUAUCAUAGUUAUAUAUAGUAUUUAUGGGGUAGCGGAACAUUGGGCAAACCUAAGAUUUUUUCUUUAAAAGACUUAAAAAAAGGUAACCCAAGUGAUAAUGCUGACAUGAGUAACGAUAAAGGGAAUUUAAGAAGUAUAAAGCAAAGCUUAUUAUCUUAUUCCCUCGCCUAAAGCUUAUGGUAUUUACUUAAAGUAACGGCCUCUAAGUUUAAAAACUAUGUAUAUUGUACUUAGUCCCCCUAAGGUUUAAACGAUGAGCAAAUCUAGAGAGUUUACUAGCAAAUAACAUUUAUGAAUAACAUUUAUGCAUCUGUUAUAGAUUUAUGCAUCUGUUAUAGAUUUAUAGUAGGUGUAAUAAUAAAAAUGGUGAGAAAUGUUCUGGAAAACUGUGAACUCGGCAUUAAACUGCAGUAUAUAGAUAGGAGGUUAAUUGCCUUAUAUGAGAUUAAUAGCCUUAUAUGAGGUUAAUUGCCUAGCAUGGAAUCUGAAAAACCAAAAUCAUAAUCAGAAAAUGGGACGGGUUUAAUGUCUAUAUCAACCGUACCUAAAUACUACCACAAGUAAGCUAGUAGAGAAUACGAAGGCGUUCGAG